AUAUCAAUAAGCGGAGGAAAAGAAACCAACAGGGAUUGCCUCAGUAACGGCGAGUGAAGCGGCAAGAGCUCAAAUUUGAAGUCUGAUGCCUUUGGCGUCCGAGUUGUAAUUUGAAGAGGAAUCUUCGGCACGGACCAUGAUCUAUGUUCCUUGGAACAGGACGUCGUAGAGGGUGAGAAUCCCGUACACGGUUGAUGGUCUCGAGUCAUGUGAAGUUCCCUCGAAGAGUCGAGUUGUUUGGGAAUGCAGCUCUAAAAGGGUGGUAAAUUUCAUCUAAAGCUAAAUACCGGCGAGAGACCGAUAGCGCACAAGUA
This 314-nucleotide ribosomal RNA is filed under the name uncultured eukaryote. RNAcentral describes it as "partial large subunit ribosomal RNA". It matches the Rfam family "Eukaryotic large subunit ribosomal RNA", at positions 40 to 350 of the family's 3401-position model. The record is from RNAcentral.